CCUACGGGAGGCAGCAGUGAGGAAUAUUGGGCAAUGGGCGAAAGCCUGACCCAGCAACGCCGCGUGAGGGAUGAAGGCCUUCGGGUUGUAAACCUCUUUUCUGGGAGAAGAGACAAGGACGGUAUCCCAGGAAUAAGUCUCGGCUAACUACGUGCCAGCAGCCGCGGUAAUACGUAGGAGGCUAGCGUUAUCCGGAUUCACUGGGCGUAAAGCGCACGCAGGCGGUCAUGUAAGUCGGACGUGAAAGCUCCUGGCUCAACUGGGAGAGGUCGUUCGAUACUGCAUGGCUUGAGGUUGGGAGAGGGAAGCGGAAUUCCCGGUGUAGUGGUGGAAUGCGUAGAUAUCGGGAGGAACACCAGUGGCGAAAGCGGCUUCCUGGCCCAUACCUGACGCUCAGGUGCGAAAGCGUGGGGAGCGAACGGGAUUAGAUACCCCGGUAGUCCACGCUGUAAACGAUGCGAACUAGGUGUUGGUAGUAUUAAUCCUAUCAGUGCCGUAGCUAACGCGAUAAGUUCGCCGCCUGGGGACUACGGCCGCAAGGCUAAAACUUAAAGGAAUUGACGG
RNAcentral lists this ribosomal RNA (564 nucleotides) under uncultured bacterium. RNAcentral's name for it is "bacterial SSU rRNA". It matches the Rfam family "Bacterial small subunit ribosomal RNA", at positions 338 to 916 of the family's 1533-position model. The record is from RNAcentral.